This 473-nucleotide long non-coding RNA is filed under the name Homo sapiens (human). RNAcentral's name for it is "HSALNT0342722". The record is from RNAcentral. Lineage: Eukaryota; Metazoa; Chordata; Mammalia; Primates; Hominidae.
AGCAUAGCACCCAGUAGUUUUUCAACUCUUUCCCCCUCCAUCCCUCCCGCCUCUAGUAGUCCCCAGUGUCACUGUUGCUUUUUUAUGUCCAGAGUCAUGGGUUUUAUUUGCAAUGCUGCGAGAAAAGGCCCCUUGAAGUUAAAUUUUGCCUUGUUCCCCUUUUUUUUAGAGUCUCUUCACCCCUAGUAUCAGUAUACAGGGGACAUUCAGUUGUUGACUGCCUGAUGAAUGUUUGCCAGUAAUUAGAACUGAGAGACACUCAAAGAUUCUGGACUGUCUUCUGAGCAGAGAAUAAAAAGUAGCUAUCAUCUGCCCACCACAGACAUGAAAAAACAAGAAAGACAGUUUGCAGAGAGGAGAGAAUGAAACAGGACUGUAGAGAGAAGCAGAGACAAGAAAUGGAUCUUCCCAUCUCGUCAUGAGCUUCCACUUCCAGACCCUGUACUCAGUGGAUCAGCUGGCACCACGCAGAU